RNAcentral lists this unclassified non-coding RNA (240 nucleotides) under soil metagenome. RNAcentral describes it as "partial contains 5.8S ribosomal RNA, internal transcribed spacer 2, and large subunit ribosomal RNA". The record is from RNAcentral.
AACGGUCUAUACCUGCGGUACCUGCGGAGGGAUCAUUACCAAGUUAUCAACUCCCAAACCCCUGUGAACAUACCCGAACGUUGCCUCGGCGGGACCGCCCCGGCGCCCCUAGCGGCCCGGAACCAGGCGCCCGCCGGAGGACCCAAACUCUUGCUUUAAACAGUGGCAUACUCUCUGAGUCUCACAAACAAAAAAUAAAUCAAAACUUUUAACAACGGAUCUCUAGAUCGGAAGAGCACA